GCAGGUCUCCUGGUAGUCCGGGAGGAGGCGUUUGCCGCUCGUAAGGGGUCAGGGUGGGGUUCUUUUUUCGCUUAUUUGGUUAUUUUUUGUUUGUUUUUGAGAGGAGGCAUCUCUACUGAGCGAGCAGGUGAACAGGUUGCGGUGGGGUUACAGACAGCUGACGAGCCAGGGCUUUCCUGGGAUGAGCCUUGGUGCUGCCGGAGUUUGUUACCCUGGGUGCCCCCUGUGUGUUUCCCUGACUGGCCGCGCAGGGCGUGCGAGCAGUUUGUCUGGAGGCAAGUACUGGUUUGCAAGAAGGAAUUACAUGGACUUGCAAGACCUCAGGAUAAGCAAAGGCAUAUUUUUGGAGCUCUGCACAUUGGUUGCUUCAGGGCUGCUGGAUAUUAGUGGACUACUUUUCAUCCGUUCAGCAUAUGGCCAUUCCCUUCUGGAGACUUACAGCCCUUGGAUUAAUUCUACUGAUCUGAAGUUUUCCUGACCUUGUGGAGAGCUACUAAUCUGUGCUCUUUUUCCAAGAGUGUUGGAGCACUUGUGCAGCUCAUGACAGGCAGAAAGAGAACAUGGCAUUGGCUCUACUCUGAUUUGGUGGAAANNNNNNNNNNNNNNNNNNNNNNNNNUUUGCAAAACGUAAGUAUACAAAGCAUAGUCUUUAAUCCCAGUUGUGACUCAGUGCGAUCCAGUUUAUUGAUGAUACGAGUUGAUAUUGCUACAACACAAGAUAUAUCUCCACAAGCCAAAGAAGCUUAAAGAUUUUAUACGAUGAUAACUAGGAAAUCUUCUAGUUUAAUCUGCUUUAAUGUAAUCAUAAAAUAAUGACAGGGAGUAUGUGUGUAUUGAAUUUUGUUACUGUUAAAUUGAUGGAAGUGCAGCCUGAAUGCAGUCUCUGUAUAUCCUGAAAGAAGAAAAUAAGGUAUAGCAAAAACUGCUACUGCAAAGAAGCAAAUUGUGAUGGCUAGCCUGGAGAAAAUGUUAUAAGAGCUGCAUAAUAUGAGGAACAGAGAAACAAUAAAAGAAUGCAUAAAGGCA
Molecule: long non-coding RNA, 1026 nt
Filed under: Struthio camelus australis
Lineage: Eukaryota; Metazoa; Chordata; Aves; Struthioniformes; Struthionidae
Description: lncRNA (ENSSCUG00000007295.1)
Source: RNAcentral